Molecule: small nuclear RNA, 105 nt
Organism: Sorex fumeus (smoky shrew)
Lineage: Eukaryota; Metazoa; Chordata; Mammalia; Eulipotyphla; Soricidae
Source: RefSeq, a predicted model, not a curated record
GCUCUCUUCGACAGAACCUAUACUAAAAUUGGAAUGAUACAGAGAAGAUUACCAUGGCUCCUGCGCAAGGAUGACAUGUAAAUUCGUGAAGCAUUCCAUAUUUUU